CACGUAGUCAACCUUCCCGAUAGUGGGGGAUAACUAGCCGAAAGGUUAGCUAAUACCGCAUACGAUCUUCGAGUGGCAUCACUUGAAGAUGAAAGGAGCAAUCCGCUUUCGGACGGGACUGCGUCCCAUUAGCUAGAUGGUGGGGUAAUGGCCUACCAUGGCUUCGAUGGGUAGCUGGUUUGAGAGAGCGACCAGCCACACUGGGACUGAGAAACGGCCCAG
This 222-nucleotide ribosomal RNA is filed under the name uncultured bacterium. Its description in RNAcentral is "partial 16S ribosomal RNA". It matches the Rfam family "Bacterial small subunit ribosomal RNA", at positions 114 to 334 of the family's 1533-position model. The record is from RNAcentral.